AUACGGAGGGAGCAAGCGUUAUUCGGAAUCACUGGGCGUAAAGGACGCGUAGGCGGGUUUGUAAGUCAGGUGUGAAAUCCUACAGCUCAACUGUAGAACUGCACUUGAAACUACAGACCUAGAGUAUGGAAGGGGCAGAUGGAAUUAGUGGUGUAGGGGUAAAAUCCGUAGAUAUCACUAGGAAUACCGAAAGCGAAGGCGAUCUGCUGGGACAUUACUGACGCUGAGGCGUGAAAGCGUGGGGAGCAAACAGGAGUAGAAACCCCAGUAGUCC
RNAcentral lists this ribosomal RNA (274 nucleotides) under uncultured bacterium. RNAcentral's name for it is "partial 16S ribosomal RNA". It matches the Rfam family "Bacterial small subunit ribosomal RNA", at positions 523 to 796 of the family's 1533-position model. The record is from RNAcentral.